UUUUCUGUUCUUGGACAUCAAAGCUGGGGCUUAGGCGCUGUGCUGGGGUCGCGGCGGCGCGGGCGCUGGGGGAGAGGAGCUUUUCUGCCUCAUUCACCUGCUUGUCCAGAAUUUGCUGGCAACUUUGGGAAUAGAGCCUUUCCUUCAUUCUCAGCCUUUACCAAGCAGGUCUAAGUUAGACCUUCGAUGCCAAUCCCCACUUCCCUCCAGCACUCACACACCCUGGGAUGUCUGGGGAGAGGAGGCCCGCUCCGGGCUCCCGUGUGGUCAAGCCCCGCCGGUUCUCCCAUUCUGGGGUACAGAAGUGCCCAUAAACACUGUCCUUGCCUGGAUCUCUGAGUGCCCUCAAAUCCCCUGAGGCAGAGCUGGGCCCUGGCCUUGGGGCACAGCAGUUCUCUGAAGACCAGAUGGGCCCCAUCAGGGUGCAGCAUACGGACCCACGGAACCAAGCACCCAGGCUCUACUCCGAUGCCAAAUAGUGGCUGGUGGCUGCCGUGCGGUGCACCCCAGAGGAAGAGGGGAAGCUGAGAUUUGGCAGAAUCUGGGAUUCAGUCGAGGGGACCUGUGUUUGAGGCCAGCUCUGCUGUGCACCGCGUGACCUUCACUGCAUCUCAAAGGCUCCCGAAGGCCCCACUUCCUCAACCAUAAGACUGGGGUCAGCAAAUACCUAGCCCACCCAUCCUCAGGACGAUUGUGAAGCCGACUAGAGUAACGACGUGAAUCAGCUUUCUAAACACCACGAUGCUAUAAACUGUGGUCUUCAGCAUAGAGUGAGCUUCUAGUGACACGAGCUGGAGGGAAAGAGGAAGUGCAUCAUGACAGCUCGUCCAGUGGACAAGGAACGUGUGAACAGAGGAAACCCGUGCCCUUUCCCUGGGCAUAGCCUAGAAAGUGUCAAGACCCCAGACUCAUCUCUAUUCUCAACGUGGUGCUGGAGCAGAAGCAAUGCUUUGAUGGUUGUUUCACAGCCCAGAGUAUCGUAAGCAAAGGGAGAGUGAUUUCCCUUACUCCCCGAGAGAAGUGGGCUGAAAAGGAGGAGUGUUUAACGAAAGCUACUCAAAUGUGCUUACAUGUGACAUUUGGAAAGAAUGGCCUCUGAAACCUGCAGUCCUGCCCCUGGC
Molecule: long non-coding RNA, 1121 nt
Organism: Pongo pygmaeus (Bornean orangutan)
Lineage: Eukaryota; Metazoa; Chordata; Mammalia; Primates; Hominidae
Exons: 5
Source: RefSeq, a predicted model, not a curated record